UGGGGAAUAUUGCACAAUGGGCGCAAGCCUGAUGCAGCGACGCCGCGUGAGGGAUGACGGCCUUCGGGUUGUAAACCUCUUUCAGCAGGGACGAAGCGCAAGUGACGGUACCUGCAGAAGAAGCACCGGCCAACUACGUGCCAGCAGCCGCGGUAAUACGUAGGGUGCGAGCGUUGUCCGGAAUUACUGGGCGUAAAGAGCUCGUAGGCGGUUUGUCGCGUCGUCUGUGAAAUUCUGCAGCUUAACUGCAGGCGUGCAGGCGAUACGGGCAGACUUGAGUACUACAGGGGAGACUGGAAUUCCUGGUGUAGCGGUGAAAUGCGCAGAUAUCAGGAGGAACACCGGUGGCGAAGGCGGGUCUCUGGGUAGUAACUGACGCUGAGGAGCGAAAGCGUGGGUAGCGAACAGGAUUAGAUACCCUGGUAGUCCACGCCGUAAAACGGUGGGUACUAGGUGUGGGUUCCAUUUUCACGGGAUCCGUGCCGUAGCUAACGCAUUAAGUACCCCGCCUGGGGAGUACGGCCGCAAGGCUAAAAACUUAAAUGAAUUGACGGGGGUCAUAGCUGUUUUCCU
RNAcentral lists this ribosomal RNA (573 nucleotides) under uncultured bacterium. Its description in RNAcentral is "partial 16S ribosomal RNA". It matches the Rfam family "Bacterial small subunit ribosomal RNA", at positions 355 to 939 of the family's 1533-position model. The record is from RNAcentral.